GGUAGGAGAAAGUCAAGAGUAAGUAGUAUUCUGUCUUUUCUUAAUUUCUCUCUCCAGGAGGAGCAGUUCAACCCUUUCUCUUACAAGUUUCUUGGCUGAAAAUUUCACAAAAAAAAACAACCUUUUUUCCCUUUUGAUUGAAUCAAGAACUGAGUUGGGGUUUGUAUAAAAUCUAUAGAUAUAUGGAGAGAAUAAUUGGAGAAAAGUAUAAGUUGGGUAGAAAGAUUGGAAGCGGGUCUUUUGGGGUUAUAUAUCUUGCUACCCACAUCGAAACUUUUGAGAUUGUUGCUGUUAAAAUUGAAAAUAGGCAGACAAGACACCCUCAGUUGCUGUAUGAGGCAAAGCUGUACACUAUACUUCAGGGAGGAAGUGGUAUUCCUAAUAUAAAAUGGCGUGGGGUCGAUGGGAAUGACAGUGUCCUCAUUAUUGACUUGCUUGGUCCCAGUCUUGAAGACCUCGUUGUACACUGUGGGAGGAAAUUCUCGCUGAAAACUGUCCUAAUGUUGGCUGAUCAGAUGAUUACGAGAAUAGAGUAUUUGCAUUCAAAAGGAUUUCUACAUAGAGACAUAAAACCAGAUAACUUUCUCAUGGGUCUUGGCAGGAAGGCAAAUCAGGUCUACGUUAUUGAUUUUGGACUUGCAAAAAGAUAUCGUGACCCCACCACAAGCCGUCAUAUUCCUUACAGAGAGAACAAGAACUUGACAGGGACAGCAAGGUAUGCCAGUUGCAAUACACAUUUGGGAAUAGAGCAAAGCCGGAGGGAUGAUCUGGAAUCUCUUGGCUACGUUCUUUUAUAUUUCUUGAGAGGCAGCCUUCCAUGGCAAGGUCUAAAAGCUGAUACAAAGAAGCAAAAAUAUGACAAGAUCCGUGAGAAAAAAGUAUCAACAACAAUUGAGGUUUUAUGCAAAUCUCUUCCAGUGGAGUUUGCUUCAUACUUGCAUUAUUGUCACUCUUUAACAUUUGACCAGCGCCCUGAUUAUGGAUUCCUGAAACGCUUGUUUCGUGACUUAUUUACACGUGAAGGGUAUAAAAUGGAUUAUGUGUUUGAUUGGACCAUCUUGAAAUAUCAGCAGACACAGAGGUCAAAGUCACAGCUAGAACUACCGAGUCUGCAUCCACUUUCUGUAACGACUGGUACUGGAGCAUUGCCAAAAGCUUUAAAUAAGCAAGGAGGUAAUAAUGCUGCAUACUUAGCUGAAGCUACAAAACAGAAGGUAUCAAGUAAUUUUGUACGUGGUGAUGGAUCAGCAACCAAUCUGAAACCUGAUUAUCGUACUGGGAAAAAUAUAACAAGCGAUGCUUCUGUUCCUUCUACGUCGUUGGCUGAUGCCUUCAAGAGAAGCUUCCCGAAACACGAAGAUUCAAUUGAAGUUGGAAAUGUAGGUCAUGGAGACAGUGGAAAAGCUGGUGCUUCAAGCAGCAAGCUGCAUUUCUUAAGCAGGAUUUCUUCCAAGUGAACUGGGAUGAUACGUGGGAGAAAUGCCGAAGUCAAGGUCUACUUCGUGAUGUUGAAUUCACUUGAACCCUGUGUACCAGUAAUACAUCCUUCUCGAGGUGACUAUGACGUAUAAAGCAUUGGAUGUUGCUAAAAGAUGGCCUAUCAAAACUUGGAUGUCCUUUUUUAAGUUUUCUUCGUCUUGAAUUAUAGGAGAGUGACUAAGCCAGCUACAGUUCACAGUGCUCAAGUGCCUGAAAGCUCAAAUCUGGUAUAGAGCAUUUCAGACAUUUUAUGUCAUGAACUUGAUGAUGAAGCCUGCCUUUGGUGUUGAAGUUCCAAUGGGGCACCAUCAUGGCUCUUAUAAUAAAUCAACCUUGCAUUUGUUUAUAAUCCUAUACUUGCUGUGGAGAUGAUGGAAUUCUAUAACCUGGAGUCAGAGGUACUGUGUGAUUAGAGCCAUAGCUUUUCUUCUCCUCUUUUUAUUUUAUCUAAUCAUGUCUUGGAAACAAUCUUCAUACUACUUCUUGGUGGCCAUUUUCACUUCAACGAGGCUUUUCAUGUAUUUAGCUCAAGAGCAUCUUUUCAUCUCUGUUUUUCUCCUCUAUAAAAUAAUGUUUGGGACAAAAAAGUCAUCGUAGUUUUGGUCAUGUUCUUUCCAAUAUUUCUAUAGGCAUGCUUAAGCCCUUAAACGAGGCAUAAAGCGCUUCUCCUCACUUAACGGGUGGCUUCAGUGUCGUCAUCAAGGAUCUAAGGCAUAUUUUUCCUUGCCAAUAAGCAUAAUCCUAAAGAGUUGACGCUAAACAAUGUUUCACUUUAUCAUAAUAGUUCUUCAAUUUCUUUGUCCAUAUAUUUGUUAUUAAUGCAUAUAAUUAUUACUCUUGGGCUGCACAUACAUAUUCAUAUUUUUUUUUCUCUAUUUGCGCUUUUCUUUAAGCCCCCACUUUAUUUGUGCUUUGCGCUUAAAGCCACAUCGGACCUUAGUGCUUUUUGUGCUUUUUGCCUUUGAUAACACUGGUUCUGUCAAAAGGCUAGUUUGUUGAAUUUGCUGAACUUUUUGGAAGAACUCAAUUUAAAUACACGAAGAGGCUUUCCUUGUGUCUACGAAACAGAUGAUACUUUCAGCUAGUUUGGACCAUUUAGUUUUGCACUUUUCCAGUAGCUUCAUGUUAUACUAUUUGACAUGUAUCAUACCUGAAGGUUCCUUUCUUUUGGGUUUGUUGGGGGUGGGGCUGGAGUUGUGUUUUAGAGGUAUAUGUGUCCUCAUCUUCAUUUUCAGUACCAGAUGAUAUUCAGAGAUGGAGAAAUUUGGACGAAAAAGGAUGCAAGAGUGCUAUUAUUAGCGAGCUGCAAGAGAAGACAGGUGGUAUGAAUAUUUUAACGUUUUAUUCUUGCAUUGAAACUCAAAACACAAAUUUCAGGUCCAAAUAUUUUUGUGCUGAGAUUAAAUGAAUAGAACACAAGUUUGUCCGUCUAGUUCUUGAUUAGGACAGUCUUGAGAACCUCAGCACAUUGGUUUAUUCAAUGUUAAUGUUCAAGCACUCUUUUACUUGCA
RNA transcript from Solanum dulcamara, 2990 nucleotides. It is a transcript of the gene named casein kinase 1-like protein 3, with no coding region annotated. The record is from RefSeq and is a predicted model, not a curated record. The transcript is spliced from 17 exons. NCBI's taxonomy places the organism in Eukaryota, Viridiplantae, Streptophyta, Magnoliopsida, Solanales, Solanaceae.